RNAcentral lists this ribosomal RNA (480 nucleotides) under uncultured bacterium. Its description in RNAcentral is "partial 16S ribosomal RNA". It matches the Rfam family "Bacterial small subunit ribosomal RNA", at positions 28 to 507 of the family's 1533-position model. The record is from RNAcentral.
GACGAACGCUGGCGGCGUGCUUAACACAUGCAAGUCGAACGAUGAAGAAAAGCAUUGAAGCUUCGGCAGAAAUUCAUUUCGGAUUAGUGGCAGACGGGUGAGUAACGCGUGAGCAACCUACCUCUUACAAAGGGAUAGCCUCGGGAAACCGGGAUUAAUACCAUAUAACAUUGCGACGAAACAUUUCGAUGCAAUCAAAGCUACGGCGGUAAGAGAUGAGCUCGCGUCCCAUUAACCAGAUGGUGAGGUAACGGCUCACCAUAGUAACGAUGGGUAACCGGCCUGAGAGGGUGAACGGUCACACUGGAACUGAGACACGUUCCAGACUCCUACGGGAGGCAGCAGUGGGGAAUAUUGCACAAUGGAGGGAACUCUGAUGCAGCGGCGCCGCGUGAGUGAUUAAGGAAUUAGUAUCGUAAAACUCUGUUCUAUGGGAAGAAAAGGACUGUACCAUAGGAGAAAGCUCCGGCUAAAUACGUG